GGGCAGGGCUGCAGGUACAGGUAAAAGCUUUGUGCAGGUACCAGAACCGAAUACGUGAAUUCAGAUGGAAAAGAGAGCAGGAGGUAAUCUGUAUGUUGGAGUCAGUCGCAGAAAAUGGCAGGAAUUGGUUCUUCUGUGGCGACACAGUGACCUGGAAAAGUGCAUGAUUGUUCACGUAGAUGCGGUGCAUCAGAUAGGACAUGCCGUUCACCUGCGCCUGCUUCUGUGGCCUUAAUGGCUUCUGCUGCAGACGAAGGAAGAAGAAAAGUGAUCAAGUGGAGGACGAGGAGUGUGAAGAGGUAGAGCAAUGGAGGGAUCAGGAGACACAGGUGUGACAGCAUUGCUGUCAGCCCAGCUGUCUUCACCUUUUCUGUGGGAUUUAUCCCUUAUGGACUGAAAUGUGUGGCCUGGGUUAUCACAGCUCAGUACAGACUCCACUGUCUGAUAUGCUGCCUGGAGACAUUAUAACAGAGAUGGUAAAGGGGGUUCAACGAGCACAGGCUUUUAUUUAAAGUUAAAAAAAAAGAAAAGAAAAGGUGCUUUUGAAUCAGGUACUGUAUUUUUCCCAGAGUAUCGGUGACUAACACUCUUCUUCUUUUGUACUUUUUAACCUGGCUAAACUCAACAAGCACAAGGCUGUCUUGAGCCACGCUCUUAAAGUUGAAAAUAAAAGCCUGCGAACUCCUGGCUCAUGCCCAUUACACAUCCCUGCAGCACUCUCAUUUCUCCCUUGGCAGCUGACUGAGAACUUUGCUUUUGCUGAUGUGAUUCCAAAAAAAGAGGAAAAAAAAAUCGUAUCUGUUUGAUUAAUUUCUUGCCAUAGCUGGCGUUCCGUACAAGGUGUGAAGAGGCGAUGGACUCUAGAAAUCCAUUAUUUCUCUGAGUCGCACUCCUCGCCGCUCCUCCGCGGGGGCUGAAUUAGAACCAUUGCUCGACGGAGCUCUGCACCUCCUCACCUCCUCACCUACCUGCUUAUGUCAGAUCAACUUAGUGAAAACUUCAGCCGAGUGAGAAAGUGUGCAGUAAUUUGUAGAGUCACCCAUGGAGGGCUGGAGCCCAUCUCGGCUUUUCACGCUGCGCUGGGCUCCAUCUAAAGCCGAGCAGCUGUCCAAUCAGCAGCUUAGCUGGAGUGUGAAGAUAG
Molecule: long non-coding RNA, 1141 nt
Organism: Oreochromis aureus
Lineage: Eukaryota; Metazoa; Chordata; Actinopteri; Cichliformes; Cichlidae
Source: Ensembl